This is a long non-coding RNA of Nasonia vitripennis (jewel wasp), 1289 nucleotides long. RefSeq lists it as uncharacterized. Lineage: Eukaryota; Metazoa; Arthropoda; Insecta; Hymenoptera; Pteromalidae. The record is from RefSeq and is a predicted model, not a curated record. The transcript has 2 exons.
AAUCGGCGUAAUAUUAAUCAAUAAAAAUAAACGAUUUUUAAUUUUAGAUGUAUUCAUAUGAUAGAGAAUUCCUUUGGCGCCAACUUUAUUGUAAUGAUACCUUUCAUUUCUAUUGCUACUUCUAUACUUAUGUUUGAUGUAAGAAUGAAAAAAUAGUACAUAUAAGUAACGAUACGAUAGAAUGCACAAAAUAGAUGAUUCCCAAUGAACGCAGAACGUUCGGAAAGCACCUGUUUUACGCGAUAAAAUUACGCAAUCUACGAUUGUGUUUUUUUAUAUAAGAAAAAUAGAGUUUUGAAAAGUACAACUUUUCUUUAGUUGUUUUUUUACCACGAUCAUCCAUUUGAAAAGAUUGUUCUGAUUGGACUUAUUAUGGGCAUAUUGCUGUUUUUUUUCGUAUUGAUUUGGAUUAUACAACAAUUAAUUGAUAGUAGUGAAGAGGUCUUUAGACAAGUGUAAGUAAUUUGUAACAAUAAUAAUAACAACUACCUAUUAGUGGCAAUUUGAAUUGCACUCGUUGCUUAUCGAUUGUUUAAACUUUUGUAUAUUUCUUUACUUUGAAUACUUAUUUCUAUUUCUUUUUUCACAAAAUCAAUUUUAACUUUGCUAAAGUUACGUUUUUUCGUGAUCAUUUCGUCCAAAAUCGUAUGAUGCAGUAAGGGAGAGGAAAACUUGGGCAUAAUAUCUUGUCUAAACUGCCACCUGAGCCGAAGCGAAGAGUGACAAACAUGAGACAUAAUAGGCUGUCCAAUUUUCCUUUCGAGGUAGUGCGUGUUAUUUUUCUCACACCGGCAGUAACAAUAGGCAUUUCUCUCCAGGUGUCUGCAAAAAGAAAUGUUUUACUUUUAGUUCGUAAGACAUGCGCAAAAAGCAUACACAUAUAGUUUUAAAAAUAGUUACAUUCGCACAUUUCUUGUACUUUUAUCGUUAUACAUUCGUAUAUUAAUAAUAAAAUAUAACAUAUUACAUAUUUUAAAUCCUUAUCCAAUAAUAGAUAUUCUUGCAAUUGGUAUAAUUUAUCAGUUAAAGGACAAAAAUUAGUAUAUCUAUUAAUGCUCAGAACAUUCAAUCCUUCGAAAAUAACUGCUAAGGGACUUGUAGACAUAAAUAUAUAUCUAUUCGGAGUUAUCUUGAAGACAUCACUAUCUUACGCCAUGGUUAUGCAGAGACUAAACAUUUCUUAAUUUUGGCUAAUCAGCAAUAUAUAUUUUGGUAGUAUUACGAAUUUGUAAACAACACAAAUAUUCACUGUAAAUGAGUUUAAUAAACGGCAUGCCAAUUUGUCAAUA